RNAcentral lists this long non-coding RNA (748 nucleotides) under Mytilus galloprovincialis (Mediterranean mussel). Lineage: Eukaryota; Metazoa; Mollusca; Bivalvia; Mytilida; Mytilidae. The record is from RNAcentral.
ACAUAUCACGAAUAUUUGAGGCCCAGUUUACAUAACCAUUGAUAGCAUCGUCAUACAAGAGUUUAUACACAUCGUAUACAACUUUUGGUUUAUUUGUAAUAAUAUGUAACCAAUAUUUCAAUAUAUUUUGUUUUCUAACAAUAAAAAGAGGUAAAUGGCCAAGUUCGCCAUAUAAAAAGCAUGUUGGUACAUUUCGACCCAAUUUUAACACAAAUCUACAAAAACGAUUAUGGAUAAGUUCGAUAUCUUUAGCACGAUGGAAACCCCAUAUUUCUGAUGCAUAGCCUAAAAUGGAUCCGACCAUACUGUCGAAAAGAAACAUCUGUUCUUCUGGAGUGAUGAAGAAUUGUUUGAGAGAGUUCAUUAAAGAUGACAUGGCUCUAGAUCCUUGUUGUGCUAAACGUUUCUGAGUAUGUAAAAACUUUCCGUUGUAAUGUAAUAAUACACCAAGGUACACAUAUGAAUUAACAACUUGCAGUUCCUUGUUAUCAUAGUAAAAAUUAGUGUCUACUGGUCUAAAUCCAUUUCUAAAUACCACUACUUUGGUUUUAUCAGCGUUUACUUCGAUAUUCCAUUUAUUGCAGUAAAGUAAAAGUUUAUCAAAUAAGUGUUGCAGAACAGUCGGUGUUUUUCCAAAUAAAACGGUGUCGUCAGCAAAAAGUAUUAGAUAUAUAAGGAUUCCAUUCAAAGAUAUGACAUCUUCGUUUACAUCAGUGGAGAUAUCUUGAAUAAUGUCAUUUAUAAAAAA